GGUGUUUGAUCAUCAAUGUUAUAGUUCAACUGCCUGUAUAUGUUGGUUCUUCUGCAUAUUUAUGUGGUCACUGGUUCAGAAGGCGUGACUAAUAAGGCAUGCGAGGAACAAGAAACAUCUCUGUCAGAGCGUUGAUCCAUUCAUUCGUGUGUGACUGUGUGUCCAGCAACAGUACAAAUUCACCAAUCUGGCUGAUGACCUGUGUGUUGGGCCUGCGUCAAGAUUGGUGGCUGCCCCACCUUACCUCACCUGCACAUGU
This 259-nucleotide long non-coding RNA is filed under the name Sorghum bicolor (sorghum). RNAcentral's name for it is "long non-coding RNA (SBIC_LNC013434)". Lineage: Eukaryota; Viridiplantae; Streptophyta; Magnoliopsida; Poales; Poaceae. The record is from RNAcentral.